RNAcentral lists this ribosomal RNA (191 nucleotides) under Goniopora sp. Its description in RNAcentral is "partial 28S ribosomal RNA". It matches the Rfam family "Eukaryotic large subunit ribosomal RNA", at positions 37 to 223 of the family's 3401-position model. Lineage: Eukaryota; Metazoa; Cnidaria; Anthozoa; Scleractinia; Poritidae. The record is from RNAcentral.
AGCAUAUUAAUAAGCGGAGGAAAAGAAACUAACAAGGAUUCCCUCAGUAACAGCGAGUGAAGCGGGAACAGCUCAAAUUUGAAAUCUCCGACGCUUGCGUCGGCGAGUUGUAGUUGCGAGAAGCACUUUCUAGGCGGAUCGGUGGUGCCUAAGUUGCUUGGAACAGUACGUCAUAGAGGGUGACAACCCCG